This 460-nucleotide ribosomal RNA is filed under the name uncultured bacterium. RNAcentral describes it as "partial 16S ribosomal RNA". It matches the Rfam family "Bacterial small subunit ribosomal RNA", at positions 338 to 795 of the family's 1533-position model. The record is from RNAcentral.
CCUACGGGCGGCAGCAGUGAGGAAUAUUGGUCAAUGGACGAGAGUCUGAACCAGCCAAGUAGCGUGAAGGAUGACUGCCCUAUGGGUUGUAAACUUCUUUUAUAAAGGAAUAAAACGAGGCACGUGUGCCUUUUUGCAUGUACUUUAUGAAUAAGGAUCGGCUAACUCCGUGCCAGCAGCCGCGGUAAUACGGAGGAUCCGAGCGUUAUCCGGAGUUAUUGGGUUUAAAGGGAGCGUAGACGGGUUGUUAAGUCAGUUGUGAAAGUUUGCGGCUCAACCGUAAAAUUGCAAUUGAUACUGGCAGUCUAGAGUACAGUUGAGGUAGGCGGAAUUCGUGGUGUAGCGGUGAAAUGCUUAGAUAUCACGAAGAACCCCGAUUGCGAAGGCAGCUUACUAAACUGUGACUGACAUUGAUGCUCGAAAGUGUGGGUAUCAAACAGGAUUAGAUACCCUAGUAGUC